GAUGAACGCUGGCGGCGUGCCUAAUACAUGCAAGUCGAGCGAACGGACGAGAAGCUUGCUUCUCUGAUGUUAGCGGCGGACGGGUGAGUAACACGUGGAUAACCUACCUAUAAGACUGGGAUAACUUCGGGAAACCGGAGCUAAUACCGGAUAAUAUUUUGAACCGCAUGGUUCAAAAGUGAAAGACGGUCUUGCUGUCACUUAUAGAUGGAUCCGCGCUGCAUUAGCUAGUUGGUAAGGUAACGGCUUGCCAAGGCAACGAUGCAUAGCCGACCUGAGAGGGUGAUCGGCCACACUGGAACUGAGACACGGUCCAGACUCCUACGGGAGGCAGCAGUAGGGAAUCUUCCGCAAUGGGCGAAAGCCUGACGGAGCAACGCCGCGUGAGUGAUGAAGGUCUUCGGAUCGUAAAACUCUGUUAUUAGGGAAGAACAUAUGUGUAAGUAACUGUGCACAUCUUGACGGUACCUAAUCAGAAAGCCACGGCUAACUACGUGCCAGCAGCCGCGGUAAUACGUAGGUGGCAAGCGUUAUCCGGAAUUAUUGGGCGUAAAGCGCGCGUAGGCGGUUUUUUAAGUCUGAUGUGAAAGCCCACGGCUCAACCGUGGAGGGUCAUUGGAAACUGGAAAACUUGAGUGCAGAAGAGGAAAGUGGAAUUCCAUGUGUAGCGGUGAAAUGCGCAGAGAUAUGGAGGAACACCAGUGGCGAAGGCGACUUUCUGGUCUGUAACUGACGCUGAUGUGCGAAAGCGUGGGGAUCAAACAGGAUUAGAUACCCUGGUAGUCCACGCCGUAAACGAUGAGUGCUAAGUGUUAGGGGGUUUCCGCCCCUUAGUGCUGCAGCUAACGCAUUAAGCACUCCGCCUGGGGAGUACGACCGCAAGGUUGAAACUCAAAGGAAUUGACGGGGACCCGCACAAGCGGUGGAGCAUGUGGUUUAAUUCGAAGCAACGCGAAGAACCUUACCAAAUCUUGACAUCCUUUGACAACUCUAGAGAUAGAGCCUUCCCCUUCGGGGGACAAAGUGACAGGUGGUGCAUGGUUGUCGUCAGCUCGUGUCGUGAGAUGUUGGGUUAAGUCCCGCAACGAGCGCAACCCUUAAGCUUAGUUGCCAUCAUUAAGUUGGGCACUCUAAGUUGACUGCCGGUGACAAACCGGAGGAAGGUGGGGAUGACGUCAAAUCAUCAUGCCCCUUAUGAUUUGGGCUACACACGUGCUACAAUGGACAAUACAAAGGGCAGCGAAACCGCGAGGUCAAGCAAAUCCCAUAAAGUUGUUCUCAGUUCGGAUUGUAGUCUGCAACUCGACUACAUGAAGCUGGAAUCGCUAGUAAUCGUAGAUCAGCAUGCUACGGUGAAUACGUUCCCGGGUCU
This 1372-nucleotide ribosomal RNA is filed under the name uncultured bacterium. Its description in RNAcentral is "bacterial SSU rRNA". It matches the Rfam family "Bacterial small subunit ribosomal RNA", at positions 28 to 1381 of the family's 1533-position model. The record is from RNAcentral.